CCACAACACAGAAAGCCAAUCACUGAGACAAUGAGUAUUUCCAAGGAAGAAGGCUUCAUUCAGGUCCUGCAGCAGAGGAGAUGGGAGAUCAGUCUCAAAUUCAGUUCAACCCACUAAAAUUAGGAAUUUAUGUAGCAGGGAAGAAAUGUAACCAUAUGAGGGAAAACAGAAAUUAGAGAGGGGUAAGGAGAUACUCCUGAGGAAUAAGGAGUCUGGCAUCUCAUUAUCCUCAUGUGGUAAUCUGGAGGGAUUACAUAGGAAGAGACAUACUAACAGUGCUCUCGGAAUCAACACCUAUGAAAGGAAAGAGAACUCAAUAUUGGACAGAGGGAAAAUUCAAGCUAUGCAUUAUCAACAGAUGAGUUGCCUGCUCCUGUGAGAAGCCCUGGAGGUGGAAUGACUAUACAUUUUUUUUUUUUCCUGAAUCCUAUGCUCAGACACUGAAGAUGGGCCGGCCCAGUAAAGGGGUAUACAUUUGGUCAAAGUGGCUCUUUUUAGUUGAGGCCAUCUCCUGAAAGAGCUUAUAGGUGAGAGUUGUCUGCUGUAGCUGGGGAAUAAAUUUUUAUUCCCAAGCAGAAAUCUCAAUACCCCCAUGCAGUGUCCACAGAGUAUUUUCCCAAAAUGAUGGGGAGAAUUUGGAGCCCUAGGAUUUAUGCAAGGGGUUCAAUUCUAAUUUAUUCACCCUACUCAGGCUCAUACUCCAAUUUUUUUUUUUUUUUUUGCACCUGGUCUGCAUGUUAGAAUACCAGUUUGUAGCUUUUAAACCCUACAGCUUAUUAUAAAUGUUAGGGUUUUCCACUUCUCGUUAAUGCUUUUGCCUUGAUUGCUUGCUUCAAUUUUAGCAUUCUUACAUUUAUCUUCCUUUAGAGUUCAACUCUAAAUUUGUAUUUUAUUCAUAAUUAUUUCAUAGCAUUUUUCAGGUCAUUUUAUUACUGUGUGUUCCUUAGAUUCUAACACCCUAUGUUGUUGUACUGACUGCGUCAUUGAUUCUGUUUCUUGAUGUGAAUUGCAUUUGUUCCCUGUGACUAAUUUCCUGUAAUUGCAGCCAGAGAGGGUUCUGUUUUCAUCAGCUCAGUCCAAGGUGAUCAGUAUUUUCUUAACAUAAUGUUUACCUUGAAUAUAUUAUGAUUUUAAUUGUGAAAUGCUAUUCAAUUUUUUAAGGAUUCCCUCAGAAGUAAUGUGCUCUGUAAAGUUUAGGAGACACAAUAUUUUAUAGAUUUUGCUAGUAAAACCAGAAUUAGAAACUUGUACUUUUUGACAUUGACACAUGCCAUUAUUGCUAUAUAGGAAAUCUCCAUAACAUCAACAUCAAUUUCAAGUAAAAAAUAGGGCACUAUUUAUCUCAAAACCAAGUUAGCCCCAAGUCAUGAUCACAUUAUUGUCAUUUACUCUUUGUAAAUACUGUUACAUGUGACACCUGUCUUUGCCAAUAAAAUCCAUAAUCCUGGAGAGCAGAU
This 1457-nucleotide long non-coding RNA is filed under the name Homo sapiens (human). RNAcentral's name for it is "HSALNT0250390". The record is from RNAcentral. Lineage: Eukaryota; Metazoa; Chordata; Mammalia; Primates; Hominidae.